This 21-nucleotide non-coding RNA is filed under the name Caenorhabditis elegans. The record is from RNAcentral. Lineage: Eukaryota; Metazoa; Nematoda; Chromadorea; Rhabditida; Rhabditidae.
UCGUUUUAGCUACCACCGGAA